GAGGGUAUAACCCAAGUGGUUAGAGCACAUGCUCAGCAUGCACGAGGUUCUGGGUUCAAUCCCCAGUACCUCCA
This 74-nucleotide transfer RNA is filed under the name Camelus bactrianus (Bactrian camel). It matches the Rfam family "tRNA". Rfam says of the family: Transfer RNA (tRNA) molecules are approximately 80 nucleotides in length. Their secondary structure includes four short double-helical elements and three loops (D, anti-codon, and T loops). Lineage: Eukaryota; Metazoa; Chordata; Mammalia; Artiodactyla; Camelidae. The record is from Rfam by way of RNAcentral. RNAcentral also lists the same sequence under 2 other names.